UACCCCGACAGCAGCCCCGAGGGGCCCCCCCCGGCACCCCCGUACCUGGGGGGACCCCCCCGAGCGCCCCCCCCCAACCGCCGGCACAGCCCCGAGACCUUCGGGGGGCCCGAGGGGGGCGUGGGGGGCGCCGAGCCCGACGGGCAGAUGCAGCUGGUGACCAGCCUGUGAGAGCAGGGGCAGGGGGGCACCGGGACCCUCCAAGCGCCAGGGCCCGGGGGCACACGGGGGGCCCGAGGUCACGGCGGGACCCCCCCUUUGCCAGGGGGUCCGAGGUCAUGGCAGGACCCCCCUUUGCCAGGGGGUCCGAGGUCAUGGCGGGACCCCCCCUUUGCCAGGGGGUCCGGCCUGGCACAAGGACGUGGCCGGAGGGGGGGACAUGGGGGGCAGGGAUUGCACGGGGACCCCUCCUUGCUCGAGGCUGUGGGGGCACACGGGGGUCUGGCCCCGAGCGAAGAUACCCCCCAGCACGAGGACGAGGCCUGGUGCGAGGCUCCGGCCUCAAGCUGCGGCUCCCUGGCACCGGGGUUUGUCCUCAUGGCGGGGCAAGGGGGGAGUGGCCUCGCACGGGGGUCCGGUGCCACUCGAGGAGCCCCAGCAGCCUCACAUGAGGAGCGAGCCCUGAGCAGCGCCCGGAGGGGAUGGCCCAGCCUGGGCUGGCACGAGGCGCCAUGGUUGUGCAAGGCCGCUUGUGCGAGGCCGUGGCGUCGCCUGAGGGACCGGCCUGGCACGAGGAGCCGGCAGCGUCACCGUGGUCACGGCCUCAUGUGAGAGCCUUGCACAAGGACCUGGCCUUGCACAAAGAGCCGGCAGCACCAUCACAGUCACGGCCUCACACCACAACCCAACCUUGCACAAGGAGCUGGGGCUUGCAUGAGGAGCAGGCCUUGAACGAGGACCAGGCCUUGCACCAGGACCAGGCCUUGCACUAGGACCAGGCCUUGCACUAGGACCAGGCCUUUGAACAAGGACCAGGCCUCGUACAAGAAGCCGCAGUUGUGCGAGGCUUUGGCAUCGCAUGAGGGCCAGGCCUUGCACAACGACCAGGC
Catharus ustulatus (Swainson's thrush) is the source of this 1049-nucleotide long non-coding RNA. RefSeq lists it as uncharacterized. The transcript has 2 exons. The record is from RefSeq and is a predicted model, not a curated record. NCBI's taxonomy places the organism in Eukaryota, Metazoa, Chordata, Aves, Passeriformes, Turdidae.